This 849-nucleotide long non-coding RNA is filed under the name Homo sapiens (human). RNAcentral's name for it is "HSALNT0103596". The record is from RNAcentral. Lineage: Eukaryota; Metazoa; Chordata; Mammalia; Primates; Hominidae.
CACAGACUCAACAGACACAUGGAAUGAAUUUAUAAAUUGAUAAGCACACUACAUGAGUAAAAUAAAAUAUUUCCUUUUUCCAGUAUUUUUCAUUUUAUAAUAUUCCAUGAUGCGAUUAAAUUUUUAUACAAUCAUAUUUCAUUCAACUAGACAACAAAAAUUAAUUUAGUGCCUAUGCUGAACCAGGUAUGCCCUCAUAUGCUCAAGUGCCUGACAUUCUAGAAGCUUCACAAGACCGAAGUGGAGCCACUGGAGUGUUUUAGGUGAAGAAACGACACACUUUGACUCACAGUAGCAGGACCACUGUGGAGAGAACACUCAGGUGGCAGGUUUAAAAAAAUACUAAGUGUUCCAAUAAAACAUGCACACCACUUAGAUGCGGAUACUUCCUAAAAACAGGAAGUGCAUGAGCACUGGUGAGGGGCAUUGUGACUGCGUUGAACACUUGCAACUUUGAGGUGAAUGAAUGUAUUGGCUCCUGGUUGCAAUAUACAAUCACACGUUGUGCUACUUUGUAUUGUCAGGAGAUGUCCUGGACUCCCACAGAAACUCAGGGCUAUGGAAUGAAGGUAAUUUUAGAAUACAACAAGAGUCACAGAUACAUAGUCUGGGAAAGCAAAACUUAGGAGCUCUGAGAGUUGUACAACUGUAAUGCAUUUAGACACAUUUAUAUAUCAAGGGGCCAAAGUAACAGUUUUUACACAUAAGAUUCCUGAUUGGUCGGGCGCGGUGGCUCAUGCCUGUAAUCGCAGCACUUUGGGAGGCCGAGGCGGGAGGAUCACGAGGUCAGGAGAUCGAGACCAUCCUGGCUAACACGGUGAAACCCGUCUCUACAAAAAAAUUAGCCGG